RNAcentral lists this ribosomal RNA (495 nucleotides) under Dialister pneumosintes. RNAcentral describes it as "bacterial SSU rRNA". It matches the Rfam family "Bacterial small subunit ribosomal RNA", at positions 28 to 489 of the family's 1533-position model. Lineage: Bacteria; Bacillati; Bacillota; Negativicutes; Veillonellales; Veillonellaceae. The record is from RNAcentral.
GACGAACGCGGGGCGUGCUUAACACAUGCAAGUCGAACGGAAAGAGAUGAAAGAGCUUGCUCUUUUAUUAAUUUCAGUGGCAAACGGGUGAGUAACACGUAAACAACCUGCCUUAAGGAUGGGGAUAACAGACGGAAACGACUGCUAAUACCGAAUACGUUCUAAGCAUCGCAUGGUGCAUAGAAGAAAGGGUGGCCUCUACAAGAAAGCUAUCGCCUUAAGAGGGGUUUGCGACUGAUUAGGUAGUUGGUGAGGUAACGGCUCACCAAGCCGACGAUCAGUAGCCGGUCUGAGAGGAUGAACGGCCACACUGGAACUGAGACACGGUCCAGACUCCUACGGGAGGCAGCAGUGGGGAAUCUUCCGCAAUGGACGAAAGUCUGACGGAGCAACGCCGCGUGAACGAAGAAGGUCUUCGGAUUGUAAAGUUCUGUGAUUCGGGACGAAAGGGUUUGUGGUGAAUAAUCAUAGACAUUGACGGUACCGAAAAAGCAA